RNAcentral lists this ribosomal RNA (478 nucleotides) under uncultured bacterium. Its description in RNAcentral is "partial 16S ribosomal RNA". It matches the Rfam family "Bacterial small subunit ribosomal RNA", at positions 28 to 507 of the family's 1533-position model. The record is from RNAcentral.
GAUGAACGCUGGCGGCGUGCUUAACACAUGCAAGUCGAACGAGAAGUGAAGACGGAAACCUUCGGGCGGAAGGCUUUAUUUCGAGUGGCGGACGGGUGAGUAACGCCUGGGUAACCUGCCUCAUACAGGGGGAUAACAGUUGGAAACGACUGUUAAUACCGCAUCAGACCACAGCACCGCAUGGUGCGGGGGUAAAAACUCCGGUGGUAUGAGAUGGACCCGCGUUCGAUUAGCCAGUUGGCGGGGUAACGGCCCACCAAAGCGACGAUCGAUAGCCGAUCUGAGAGGAUGACCGGCCACAUUGGGACUGAGACACGGCCCAAACUCCUACGGGAGGCAGCAGUGGGGAAUAUUGCACAAUGGGGGAAACCCUGAUGCAGCGGCGCCGCGUGAGUGAAGAAGUAUUUCGGUAUGUAAAGCUCUAUCAGCAGGGAAGAAAAUGACGGUACCUGAGGAAGAAGCCCCGGCUAACUACGUG